UAGGGAAUCUUCCGCAAUGGGCGAAAGCCUGACGGAGCAACGCCGCGCGAGUGAUGAAGGUCUUCGGAUCGUAAAACUCUGUUAUUAGGGAAGAACAAAUGUGUAAGUAACUAUGCACGUCUUGACGGUACCUAAUCAGAAAGCCACGGCUAACUACGUGCCAGCAGCCGCGGUAAUACGUAGGUGGCAAGCGUUAUCCGGAAUUAUUGGGCGUAAAGCGCGCGUAGGCGGUUUUUUAAGUCUGAUGUGAAAGCCCACGGCUCAACCGUGGAGGGUCAUUGGAAACUGGAAAACUUGAGUGCAGAAGAGGAAAGUGGAAUUCCAUGUGUAGCGGUGAGAUGCGCAGAGAUAUGGAGGAGAACCAGUGGCGAAGGCGACUUUCUGGUCUGUAACUGUCGCUGAUGUGCGAGAGCGUGGGGAUCAAACAGG
This 429-nucleotide ribosomal RNA is filed under the name Actinomycetes bacterium. Its description in RNAcentral is "Actinobacteria bacterium partial 16S ribosomal RNA". It matches the Rfam family "Bacterial small subunit ribosomal RNA", at positions 355 to 776 of the family's 1533-position model. The record is from RNAcentral. Lineage: Bacteria; Bacillati; Actinomycetota; Actinomycetes.